ACAAAACUAGAUGAAAGAAGAAGUACAUACUAUCAGGGCCACCAAGCUUUGUGACAGCGUCGACAAAACGGUCAUGAAGAUCGGUUGUCCACCUCAGCCUCGGCUUUGGGUCUCUCGUCAUCGUCAUCAUCAUUCCAUCAUACCCUUCAAUUCCUCCUCUCCCUCCACUUUCCAUCAUACCCUCUCCUCCUUUUUUUCCUUUCUCUAUCUUCAACUUCCAAAUGGAAAAUUCAAAUGAAUCUCACUUGAAGGUUUUGCUUUGUAGCCAAUAAGAGAAAGUCUUCAAAGGUAUAGUAACCAAACACUAUAGCUUCUUCAAGUGACAAUGUUUUUAGCAAGUGAAAAUGGCAGAGUCUAUAAUUUCAUAAGACAAAAACAAGACUCUGAUGAGUAAUCAUAACCUAUUGGAAUUGAACUAGAAACAAAACAAGUCAGAAGAACAGAACAUAAUUGAUUAGACGAAAAUAGAGGAUUGGUGUUGUGACAAAUAAAAUAGAAAAAGAAGAAAAAAUGGCUCAAUGGAGUAAGAAGCAACAAAAACAAAAGCGUCAAAUACGGUGAUUGUUGGAGUUUAAAUAAUUGUGUUACAGUGAUUCCAAUAAUUGUCAAGAAAAUUCUUUUGUUUUUAGUAGAUCCAUCAAAUAACAAUAAUUGUUCAAAACUCAUACAUAAGUGAAAGAGUUGUGAUUUGAUAUUGUCAUUAAAAACUCACACUAAUGGAGUAGUUGUGUGGAUACCCGAUCG
This 744-nucleotide long non-coding RNA is filed under the name Medicago truncatula (barrel medic). RNAcentral's name for it is "lncRNA gene29779". Lineage: Eukaryota; Viridiplantae; Streptophyta; Magnoliopsida; Fabales; Fabaceae. The record is from RNAcentral.